Molecule: ribosomal RNA, 764 nt
Filed under: uncultured archaeon
Lineage: Archaea
Description: bacterial SSU rRNA
Rfam family: Archaeal small subunit ribosomal RNA
Source: RNAcentral
CGUUCUUGGGUCUGUAACCCCGGGAACUGGGACUAAUACCGGAUAGAUCAGACAUACUGGAAUGUUCUCUGGUCCAAAACUCCGGUGCCCAAGGAUGGGUCUGCGGCCUAUCAGGUAGUAGUGGGUGUAACGUACCUACUAGCCAGCGACGGGUAAGGGUUGUGAGAGCAAGAUCCCUGAGAUGGAUUCUGAGACAUGAAUCCAGGCCCUACGGGGUGCAGCAGGCGCGAAAACUUUACACUGCGGGAAACCGCGAUAAGGGGACCCCGAGUGCCAGCACCUAGUGCUGGCUGUCCAGUUGUCCAAAUAACAACUGUUAGCAAGGGCCGGGCAAGACCGGUGCCAGCCGCCGCGGUAACACCGGCGGCCCGAGUGGUAGCCGCUAUUAUUGGGUUUAAAGGGUCCGUAGCCGGCUUAUUAAGUCUUUUGGGAAAUCUGGCGGCUCAAUCGUCAGGCGUCCAAAAGAUACUGGUAGGCUUGGGACCGGGAGAGGUGGGAGGUACUCCAGGGGUAGGGGUGAAAUCUCGUAAUCCUUGGGGGACCACCGAUGGCGAAGGCAUCCCACCUGAACGGGUCCGACGGUGAGGGACGAAAGCUGGGGGCACGAACCGGAUUAGAUACCCGGGUAGUCCCAGCUGUAAACGAUGCUCGCUAGGUGUCAGGUGCGGUGCGACCGCAUCUGGUGCCGCAGUGAAAACUUGAAGCGAGUCACCUGGGAAGUACGGUCGCAAGGCUGAAACUUAAAGGAAUUGGCGGGGGAGCAC